This 253-nucleotide ribosomal RNA is filed under the name uncultured bacterium. RNAcentral describes it as "partial 16S ribosomal RNA". It matches the Rfam family "Bacterial small subunit ribosomal RNA", at positions 524 to 776 of the family's 1533-position model. The record is from RNAcentral.
UACGUAGGGUGCGAGCGUUAAUCGGAAUUACUGGGCAUAAAGCGUGCGCAGGCGGUUCGCUGUGUCCGAUGUGAAAGCCCCGGGCUCAACCUGGGAAUGGCAUGGGAAACUGGCGGGCUGGAGUGUGGCAGAGGGGGGUGGAAUUCCGCGUGUAGCAGUGAAAUGCGUAGAGAUGCGGAGGAACACCGAUGGCGAAGGCAGCCCCCUGGGCCAACACUGACGCUCAGGCACGAAAGCGUGGGGAGCAAACAGG